RNAcentral lists this unclassified non-coding RNA (246 nucleotides) under Glomus sp. RNAcentral's name for it is "partial contains 5.8S ribosomal RNA and internal transcribed spacer 2". The stretch from base 1 to 65 matches the Rfam family "5.8S ribosomal RNA", at positions 84 to 154 of the family's 154-position model. The record is from RNAcentral. Lineage: Eukaryota; Fungi; Glomeromycota; Glomeromycetes; Glomerales; Glomeraceae.
GUGAAUCAUCGAAUUUUUGAACGCAAAUUGCACUCUCCGCGGAGAGUAUGACUGUUUGAGGGUCAGCAUAUAAAAAAUCGAAAUAGUUGCUGUUUGGCGGUGGCGUUCGUCGGAAUUUGGGUCAUAUUAAAUCUUUUGGUUUUAAGCGACUUAAAAUUUUCUUUUUGGUUCCAUGAACGUUUCUAAGAUUUAUUUCUCUACACGUUUAAGGUAUCGAUUUUUAUUCGAUGUGACAAUUAUAUCGGC